RNAcentral lists this RNase P RNA (349 nucleotides) under Alphaproteobacteria bacterium. RNAcentral describes it as "RNase P RNA component class A". It matches the Rfam family "Bacterial RNase P class A". From Rfam's summary of the family: Ribonuclease P (RNase P) is a ubiquitous endoribonuclease, found in archaea, bacteria and eukarya as well as chloroplasts and mitochondria. Its best characterised activity is the generation of mature 5'-ends of tRNAs by cleaving the 5'-leader elements of precursor-tRNAs. The record is from RNAcentral. Lineage: Bacteria; Pseudomonadati; Pseudomonadota; Alphaproteobacteria.
ACAGAUGGCCGGAGAGGUGAUGCGUUUUCGCAGAGGAAAGUCCGGGCUCUUUAUAGGCACGGUGCCGGAUAACGUCCGGCGAGGGUAACCUUAGGGAAAGUGCAACAGAAAGCAAACCGCCUGGCAACAGGUAAGGGUGAAAGGGUGCGGUAAGAGCGCACCGCGCCUUUGGUAACAAAGGUGGCAUGGUAAACCCCACCGAGAGCAAGACCAAAUAGGAAUGGCAUAUAACCUGUCUAUAGGUUGUCAUUCGGGUCGGUCGCACGAGGCGUAAGGUAACUUACGUCCCAGAUGAAUACCUCUCCCCUCCUUGGAGGGACAGAACCCGGCUUACAGGCCAUCUGUUUUA